AUGCCAAUUACAGGAUUUCCACUGGGCCACCAGGGGAAGAGCUCUCCUUGGGUGAUGGAAAAAAAGGGGACUCUUCAUGUGUCAGAGCCCUGUGCAACACUGAAGGGAUAUGUGCGUGAAAGGAGGAGGAGUGCCACUGGGCUCUACAGCUCCAGGACCUUCUGGGGGCUGAUGUGCCAAGUGUCUCCAACGACUUUACUUUGGGGGCAGGGACGGGGGGGCGACUUCAUGAGAGUGGCAGAUAAAUGGCUAUGGAAUUGAGUAAAGAGCAUAAAAGCAUGCAAUUCACAGUUGAAAUAAUGCAAUUCCUAGGAAAUGAGAUGUAAGAGAAUAUGUAAAAUGGAAGGACCCCAGCGCACGCGCAGCAGCAAGAGGCCCGCCCAGUAAGAUUAGAUUCGCGGACAGGAAAAUGAAAUGUUUUCCCCGGCGAAAGAGUGGAGCUUUGGGAGAUCGUGGAGAGACAACCUAAAGUAACGUUUCUUGUUUAAGAAAACAAGAAAAAACAGCUCAUAAGCAGCCCAUUUGGGAGAUUUCUGUGGUUUCCUGGCGUUGACCUCGUCCCACCCGCUCCACCUGCCCUAUACUCUAAAAGCCGCGCUGUUCCCAUGGGAGAUAAGUUACAGGCGCCCGAGGCUGUUUGCCGUAACCAGCUUCGCCCUCUCCCUGUUUUCUCACCCAGAUCUCUACUCCUACAGCUCUUCCUUGCCCUUUCCCCAAAUUUCUCCAGUAGAGUGCAAGCUAGCUUGUCCUGUCCCUGAUCUAUUAAGACCCUGGACUGUCUCAAUCAAAUGCUCAACUCCCACAAAAACCAUUGCAGAGGAGACGAUCACCGGCUUCCCACGUGCAAUCCUCAGCUCGCAGUGACCUCUGAGAACAGCAUUUCCUUUUUUUUUUUUUUUCAGCUUGAACAGGCAUCGUAAGACUCUGACAUGUAUAUGUAUAAGGGGAUCUUCUUGUCCAUUGUUCUUUGGGGGGCGGGUAUAGUAUUCAAUUCGGGGAAGAAUUACUUUCAGUAAGAGAAGAAUUAUUUGGUUUCCUCUAGAUUGGCACUUGAGUAUUCUGAGGAGUGUGGCAACAUCCUCUCCACCCCAGUGUUGGUAUUUUCCUCUAUUAUAAAUUGUUCUAUUCCCAUAAAGGGAAGAAAGGAAGGGGAAGGGUUAUAGGAGAAGGCAUGGCAAGUUUUAUUAAUUGAAUUAGGAGUAACUUACCUCUAAAGGCAUGGUAGUUCUAUAGAGUACACACUGUAAAAGUCAAGCAGGUUUGUUGGAGCACACUUUGUUUUGUGUAUGUUUUCACGUGUAUGUGCGUGAGUGUACGUGCAUUUGGUGACUACAGGUCAUUGUCUGGCCUGCCCCUCAAUUGCUCUAUACCUCCCCCCUGCUUGUUAUUUGAGAUGGUUUCUUAUUGGCUAUAGAAGUUAAAGAUAUCUGAACAGGCUGGCCAGAAUUCUGCACAAGGAAUCCCCCUGACGUCACCUGCCCGUGCUCGGACCAUCACACAGCUGUGCCUGCUUUUUACAUGGGUGUGUGGUAUUGCUUGAACAGCAAGUACUUAACCAAAUGAGCCUUCACCCAGCCCCUCCAACUCCUUUUCUUUUCUUUGUUUGUUCAAAAGUAAUACUUUUUCUUUUCAUUAAAUAUUUUUUUAAAUUCUUCUCUUAUACAAUGCAUCUUGACUGUAGUUUCCCCUCCCUCUACUCCUCCCAGUCCUCUCCCACCCUGCCCUGUUCCCCACAUCCAGGGCUCCUCCAUUUUUCCCCUUUAGAGAAGAGCAGGCUUCCCCGGGAUAUCAGCUGAGCAUGGUAGAACAAGAAAUAAUAAGACUCAGCGCAAGCCCUCAUAUCAAUGAGGGACAAGGCACCCCAGUAGGAAGAAAAGGGUCCCAAGGGCAGGCUUAAGAGUCAGAUACGCCCAUCACUCCCGCUGUUAGGAGUCCAGCAAAAACCCUAAGCUACACAACCAUAAGGUAUGUGCAGAGAACCUAACGCAGACCAGUGCGGGGUCGUGGUUGUUAUUUCAGUCUCUGUGAGCCCCUAUGAGCUCUGCUUAGUUAAUUUGCGAGCCAUGUUCUCAUGGCAUCCUCAACUCCUCUGGCUCCUACAGUCCUCUCCAGGGGGGGGCACCCCCUCCACCACCCCACCCCACCCCUGCUUCUGUUAGUGAAUGUUUGACGGUGGUUCUCUUCAUCUGCUCCCAUCAGCUGCCAGAGGAAGCCUCUCUGAUGAUGACUGGGUGAGGCAUUGAUGUAGG
Molecule: long non-coding RNA, 2249 nt
Filed under: Cricetulus griseus (Chinese hamster)
Lineage: Eukaryota; Metazoa; Chordata; Mammalia; Rodentia; Cricetidae
Description: lncRNA (ENSCGRG00000024350.1)
Source: RNAcentral